UGGGGAAUCUUGGACAAUGGGCGCAAGCCUGAUCCAGCCAUGCCGCGUGAGUGAAGAAGGCCUUCGGGUUGUAAAGCUCUUUUGUCAGGGACGAUAAUGACGGUACCUGAAGAAUAAGCCCCGGCAAACUUCGUGCCAGCAGCCGCGGUAAUACGAAGGGGGCUAGCGUUGUUCGGAAUUACUGGGCGUAAAGCGCACGUAGGCUGAUUGUUAAGUCAGGGGUGAAAUCCCAGAGCUCAACUCUGGAACUGCCCUUGAUACUGGCAAUCUCGAGUCCGGAAGAGGUUAGUGGAAUUCCCAGUGUAGAGGUGGAAUUCGUAGAUAUUGGGAAGAACACCAGUGGCGAAGGCGGCUAACUGGUCCGGUACUGACGCUGAGGUGCGAAAGCGUGGGGAGCAAACAGGAUUAGAUACCCCAGUAGUCCCUGAGCGGGCUGGCAAGGCGCAU
Molecule: ribosomal RNA, 447 nt
Filed under: uncultured bacterium
Lineage: Bacteria
Description: bacterial SSU rRNA
Rfam family: Bacterial small subunit ribosomal RNA
Source: RNAcentral